RNAcentral lists this ribosomal RNA (253 nucleotides) under uncultured microorganism. RNAcentral describes it as "partial 16S ribosomal RNA". It matches the Rfam family "Bacterial small subunit ribosomal RNA", at positions 524 to 776 of the family's 1533-position model. The record is from RNAcentral.
UACGGAGGGUGCAAGCGUUAAUCGGAAUUACUGGGCGUAAAGCGUACGUAGGCGGCUUGUUAAGCAAGAUGUGAAAUCCCCGGGCUCAACCUGGGAAUGGCAUUUUGAACUGGCAGGCUCGAGUUCUGAAGAGUGUGGUAGAAUUUCCAGUGUAGCGGUGAAAUGCGUAGAUAUUGGAAGGAAUACCGGUGGCGAAGGCGGCCACCUGGUCAGAAACUGACGCUGAGGUACGAAAGCGUGGGGAGCAAACAGG